This 377-nucleotide ribosomal RNA is filed under the name uncultured bacterium. RNAcentral's name for it is "partial 16S ribosomal RNA". It matches the Rfam family "Bacterial small subunit ribosomal RNA", at positions 338 to 732 of the family's 1533-position model. The record is from RNAcentral.
CCUACGGGCGGCUGCAGUAGGGAAUAUUGCUCAAUGGGGGAAACCCUGAACCAGCAACGCCGCGUGGGGGAAGAAGGUUUUCGGAUUGUAAACCCCUGUCGUCAGAGAAGAUAAUGACGGUAGCUGAGGAAUAAGCACCGGCUAACUCCGUGCCAGCAGCCGCGGUAAUACGUAGGGAGCAAGCGUUGCCCGGAUUUACUGGGUGUAAAGGGCGCGUAGGCGGGGUUGCAAGUCAGACGUGAAAUCCAUGGGCUUAACCCAUGAACUGCAUUUGAAACUGUAGAUCUAGAGUGUGGUAGAGGUAGGUGGAAUUCCUGGUGUAGCGGUGAAAUGCGUAGAGAUCGAGAGGAACACUCGUGGCGAAGGCGGCCUGCUGG